Ribosomal RNA from Anaerotruncus sp. G3(2012), 117 nucleotides. The record is from Rfam. NCBI's taxonomy places the organism in Bacteria, Bacillati, Bacillota, Clostridia, Eubacteriales, Oscillospiraceae.
GCUGGUGUUUAUUACGCUGAGGUUCCACCUGUUCCCAUUCCGAACACAGAAGUUAAGCUCAGCAGUGCCGACAAUACUUGGCGGGAGACCGCCCGGGAAGAUAGGUCUAUGCCAGCA